RNAcentral lists this long non-coding RNA (280 nucleotides) under Carica papaya (papaya). Its description in RNAcentral is "long non-coding RNA (CPAP_LNC007713)". The record is from RNAcentral. Lineage: Eukaryota; Viridiplantae; Streptophyta; Magnoliopsida; Brassicales; Caricaceae.
UGCUUAAUUGAAUCUGGACCGUCCGUGCACGUGCAUCUGGGCUGUCCGUGCGCUUACAUCUAGGACGUCCGUGCGCACGCUUGAUCUAGGCCGUCCGUGCGCGCGGGGACGCAUCUGGGCUGUCCAAUCGCGCGCACGCGGAUCGCCCACGUGGCCCGUUCCUAGGUUGACGUGGUCUUGCCACGCGGCAGGUCCUGGUUGGCCAGGACUGCUGAUUGGGCCGCUGACGUGGCUGCUGACGGGGCACAAUUUUUCUAAAUAACAUUUUGACCCCCGGUUU